GGCUCUAUUGUGUAGUGGUUAGCACAUCUGCUUUACAUGCAGAAGAUCCUGGGUUUGCGCCCCAGGUGCGCCA
This is a non-coding RNA of Pteropus alecto (black flying fox), 73 nucleotides long. Lineage: Eukaryota; Metazoa; Chordata; Mammalia; Chiroptera; Pteropodidae. The record is from Rfam.